AAGACAAAGUCAAAGCUGCCAAUCAACUCCAGCCCUGGGCAUCCACUCCACUUCCACAAGUUGGACUGGGAUUUACAUUAUUGGCUGCCUUCAUUUUUGGAUCUUUGACGCAGACUAAAUUAUACCACUGGCUUUCCUGGAUCUCCAGUUUGCAGACAGCAGAUUGUGGGACUUUUCAGCCUCCAUAAUCAUGUAAGCCAAUCCAAUUCCUCCUAAAAUCUGUGUGUGUGUGUGUGUGUGUGUGUGUGUGUGUGUGUGUGUGUAUGACCAAUACACAUUUUAUUGGUUUAUACACUCUAUAUACACUUCAUAAUUGAACUUGAUUGGUUCUAUUUCUCUGGAGAACCCUUACUAAUACAUUUGAAAACAUUAUGCUAAGUGAAAUAAGCCAAUCACACACACAAAAAUACUGUAUGAUUACACUUAUAUGAGGUACCUAAAGGAAUAAAAUUCAUAGACAAAGAAAGUAGAAUUGUGCUUACCAGGGGCUGGGGUGAGAGAGAAAAGAGGAGUUGAUUAAUGGGUCUAGAAUUUCAGAUUUGCAAAGUGAAAAGGAUCUGGAGAUCAACUUCACAGCAAUGUGACUAUUUCUAACUGUCCACUUAAAAAUGGUGAAGAUGGUAAAACUUUAUGUUACAUGUUGUUUUUUUUACCACAAUUUAAACUGUUGAAGAACAUUUUAAAAACUUUAACAUGAAUAUCUAGAGCCUGUGGUUUACAUAAACUCCACAUGGUAUCUAAUUACAUUGAUGUUUGCCAUGAUCAAACAUCAGGGCUGCUUGAACUGCAGCCCAAAGGUACUGCAGUAUCUUUUCUUGCUCUAGUUCUCAAGCAGUUGGUAGUCUUUAGUGUUACCUAGUUUAUACAUCAAAGCAGUAUUACCAAGCAUGGAAUAUAUCACUUCCAGAAUCUAUAAAGCGAUAUCACAUAUUACACUUCCUUAUUAACAUUGGGAGGUGCAACAUGUAAUCAUACAUCCUUUGGAAGGGAUGUCCUAGCAUGUUACAGACCACCAGACCCAUCAAUGUUUUUGUGAUAUGUAUCUCUGUGGGAUUUAUCUAUCACCUUUCGGUAUCCAUGUGUUUAACCAGGGCCUCCAUGACACUAGUUACUUCUUGUACAUUCAGAUUGACCAACAAGGCCUUAUUAUAAGGAUUAUUGUGAUAUUCAGCUGGGUGUUAAGUGGGUUUAGAUUAUUUCAGAAUGUAUUAUAACAGGCAAGGAGAGAGCUAACAGAGGCUCAAUAGUUAACACAGAUACAGAUUGUAAAUGUGCAUUUUUGUUCAUUUCACAUGAAUGGAAACUGUUUUGAUAGGGAUGGUUGUUUUUGUCUUUAGUGGGUUUCACCUAUCUCUACUUAUUAUACUUAUCUGUGCAACAAUAGCUAUCACUAGGAGGUGCAAUGACUCCAAUGAUCACCUGUGGUCAGGGCAGGAGUCUGUAUUACCUGAAGCACAGGGGCUGAAAGUAGAGGAUGAUUAGUUCUUCUGUGCUCUGUCUUAAUAGAACCAAAAUGAAAGGAAAAGGAAGACUGAACUCCCCUCCCACACUGCCAAUUAUAUACCAGGAUUGGAGAACAAUACAACAAAACUAUUCCUUCAAUAGCUGGUCUUGUACUUGCCUUCUAGAGCCUGGGGAAAUGCCCAGCUCGCCCUUUCCAUCCACAUUCCUCUGCUCAUUCAACAGAACCAUCUGGUGUGUGCCUACCAUGUGCUGAGGACUUAGAAGCAACACCUCAGUCAUUUUCCUUGGGGAUCUCUCAGUCUGUCAGCUGUGGUGAUAGGGACAGGCAACCCAUAAGACAGGUGGGGAAGGGAGCACCGAAAGUCAAUGAAGAGAUGUGAUCUGGAGUGAUUUACUACCAGGCCAAGUGACAGUCACCCUAUUUUGCUAUUUUUUAAUUACCAUUUCGAAUUAAUAAUGUGUCUCUUCCCACGCAUCCCCCUCAGAGUGGGGCGUAAACACCUUUGUAUGUGACUGUGCAGAGCUUUGAAGCUCCCAGAACAGCAGCCCUCCUGCCUUGCCUUCUCCCCAGGUAAUGUGACCCAGGCCUGUCCUUGGCUGCAGCCACCAACCCCACCCGGAGCGGCUGUCUGAACUGCCUGGCCUGCCUGGGUCUCCACGAAGGCCAGGAUCAGGCAGAAGGCGAUGGAGGCACCUCCCGCCUUUGCUUCGUUAGUCCCAGGACGAGCGGGCCCGCGCGUACCCGGAGAGGGGCGGCGGCGCGGGUGGCCUGGCGGGUCCCGGGGCCUCGGUUCGCAUCGGAGUCCCCUCUGUGCUCGCCCUGCAGCCGCUGCCCGAGAGGUCUGAGUCGCCACCAGCUGUGUCCGC
This 2331-nucleotide long non-coding RNA is filed under the name Homo sapiens (human). Its description in RNAcentral is "HSALNT0321554". The record is from RNAcentral. Lineage: Eukaryota; Metazoa; Chordata; Mammalia; Primates; Hominidae.